CCUACGGGUGGCUGCAGUGGGGAAUAUUGGACAAUGGGGGCAACCCUGAUCCAGCCACGCCGCGUGUGUGAAGAAGGCCCUCGGGUUGUAAAGCACUUUCAGUGAGGAAGAACGCCUGGUGGUUAAUACCCAUCAGGAAAGACAUCACUCACAGAAGAAGCACCGGCUAACUCCGUGCCAGCAGCCGCGGUAAUACGGAGGGUGCGAGCGUUAAUCGGAAUUACUGGGCGUAAAGCGCGCGUAGGUGGCUUGAUAAGCCGGUUGUGAAAGCCCCGGGCUCAACCUGGGAACGGCAUCCGGAACUGUCAAGCUAGAGUGCAGGAGAGGAAGGUAGAAUUCCCGGUGUAGCGGUGAAAUGCGUAGAGAUCGGGAGGAAUACCAGUGGCGAAGGCGGCCUUCUGGACUGACACUGACACUGAGGUGCGAAAGCGUGGGUAGCAAACAGGAUUAGAUACCCGAGUAGUC
RNAcentral lists this ribosomal RNA (465 nucleotides) under Vreelandella stevensii. Its description in RNAcentral is "partial 16S ribosomal RNA". It matches the Rfam family "Bacterial small subunit ribosomal RNA", at positions 338 to 795 of the family's 1533-position model. The record is from RNAcentral. Lineage: Bacteria; Pseudomonadati; Pseudomonadota; Gammaproteobacteria; Oceanospirillales; Halomonadaceae.